RNAcentral lists this ribosomal RNA (97 nucleotides) under Vibrio parahaemolyticus. RNAcentral's name for it is "partial 23S ribosomal RNA". It matches the Rfam family "Bacterial large subunit ribosomal RNA", at positions 2828 to 2925 of the family's 2925-position model. The record is from RNAcentral. Lineage: Bacteria; Pseudomonadati; Pseudomonadota; Gammaproteobacteria; Vibrionales; Vibrionaceae.
AAAGGGUUGUCGGAGACUACGACGUUGAUAGGUCAGGUGUGUAAGUGCUGUGAGGCAUUGAGCUAACUGAUACUAAUUGCCCGUGAGGCUUAACCAU